RNAcentral lists this ribosomal RNA (255 nucleotides) under uncultured bacterium. RNAcentral's name for it is "partial 16S ribosomal RNA". It matches the Rfam family "Bacterial small subunit ribosomal RNA", at positions 524 to 776 of the family's 1533-position model. The record is from RNAcentral.
UACGUAGGGGGCUAGGCGUUGUCCGGAGUUACUGGGCGUAAAGGGCGCGCAGGCGGCGGUGCUGGCCCGGCGUGAAAGGCCCCCGGCUCAACCGGGGAGGGUCGUCGGGGACCGCACCGCUUGAGGGCGGUAGGGGCUGGUGGAAUGCCUGGUGUAGUGGUGAAAUGCGUAGAGAUCAGGCGGAACACCCGUGGCGAAGGCGGCCAGCUGGGCCGACCCUGACGCUGAGGCGCGAAGGCGUGGGGAGCGAACGGG